AUCCAGCUGACGAGUCCCAAACAGAAUGAAACGCGCGUCAAACUUGAU
Molecule: non-coding RNA, 48 nt
Organism: Schistosoma mansoni
Lineage: Eukaryota; Metazoa; Platyhelminthes; Trematoda; Strigeidida; Schistosomatidae
Source: Rfam